GAGGCGACCUGAUUAGUCAGUUUGGAUGCUUGCAAAUUUGAAAGCUCUAUUCUUGAUACUGUCAAUGAUCACCCAUAGGCAUAUCGUCGUGAGAACAAUAAAUGUAAUGUACUUCGUUAACCGUCCGUCUUCGUCAGAUUAUAGCCGAAACGCCAGAAAAUGGAAAUCAAUACAGGAACAGUUUAGGUAAUUCAUAGAGCUUGAGAUGUCUGGAACAGUUCUUCAGUACAGAGCGCUAGUUGGAAAAGUUCAAGCAAAUACAUGGACAGAGCUAACAGUAGUAAUCAGAUAUGUGAUUGGUGUUUGGUUUAAGGGCAUCAAACCAAAAUGCCAGUGAACUUCUUCCAGAUUGUAUCGCACAGGUUUUGGAAGGAACCCUGACAGGUGUCCAGGUUUGAUACAGUGAAUGUUUGCUGAAGCCAUGUCCAGUUUUGGUACAGUGAAUGUUUGCUGAAGGCAUGUCCAGGUUUGGCACAGUGAAUGUUUGCUGAAGGCAUGUGGUGCGGCACUGAUGGCUGGAUUUGUGUAGAGGUCAAUAUGCUG
Molecule: long non-coding RNA, 543 nt
Organism: Cryptotermes secundus
Lineage: Eukaryota; Metazoa; Arthropoda; Insecta; Blattodea; Kalotermitidae
Exons: 3
Source: RefSeq, a predicted model, not a curated record